AAUUGUGAACAAAAAAACACUUAAUUGUUUGUUAAUUUUAGGUAUUUGCCGUUCAACUACUACGGGAAAAUGUUUGUAUCCAACCGAAGUACACUAUUUAUUUAUCAAACUGCGGAAUUUGACAGAGGAAAUCAAAACAUAUUAUGCUUUUCACGCAUUACUCAUCAUCAUUGAAUCAGUUUUACUCAUUGCUUCGAACGUAACAAAAUUAGCAUUUAACUACACUAACAAUAUUGACACAGUAUUUGCAUACAACAAAUUGCUUUUAGUUUUUUGUAUUUUGAAGAUGAUAUUUAUAUUUUUCAUAGUUCGAGAAGCACAUAAUACAAUACAAGAAUCAAAAAAACUGUUUUGAUCGCCCAUGAUGUAGUCCGUACUACAACAAACACAUGGAUUGUCAAAGAAUUUGAGGUGUUCAUAUUGAAUUGUUGGAACAAUCCGAUCAUAUUUAAUGUGUAUGAUUUUUUUGAUUUGGACUACAAACUACUUCAAUCAAUAAUUGCAUCCAUCGUCACUUAUAUUGUAGUUUUGGUUCAAAUUCAGUUGGCCAUAUCCAGUCAAUAAUUUG
Long non-coding RNA from Acyrthosiphon pisum (pea aphid), 568 nucleotides. RefSeq lists it as uncharacterized. The transcript has 4 exons. Lineage: Eukaryota; Metazoa; Arthropoda; Insecta; Hemiptera; Aphididae. The record is from RefSeq and is a predicted model, not a curated record.